AGGUAAUCCUGCAGUCGAGAUUCCUACGGGAGGCAGCAGUCGGGAAUCUUGCACAAUGGGCGAAAGCCUGAUGCAGCAACGCCGCGUGAGGGAUGAAGGCCCUCGGGUCGUAAACCUCUGUCGGAAGGGAAGAAAGUAUUCCGGGCCAAUACCCCGGAGUAUCGACGGUACCUUCAAAGGAAGCGCCGGCUAACUCCGUGCCAGCAGCCGCGGUAAUACGGAGGGCGCGAGCGUUAUUCGGAAUCAUUGGGCGUAAAGCGCGUGUAGGCGGCUGGGUAAGUCGGAUGUGAAAGCCCGGGGCUCAACCCCGGAAUUGCAUUCGAAACUGCCCAGCUAGAGUCUCGGAGAGGAGGGCGGAAUUCCCGGUGUAGAGGUGAAAUUCGUAGAUAUCGGGAGGAACACCAGUGGCGAAGGCGGCCCUCUGGACGAUGACUGACGCUGAGACGCGAAAGCGUGGGGAGCAAACAGGAUUAGAUACCCUGGUAGUCCACGCCGUAAACGUUGGGUGCUAGGUGUCGCGGGUAUUGACCCCUGCGGUGCCGUCGUUAACGCAUUUAGCACCCCGCCUGGGGAGUACGGCCGCAAGGCUAAAACUCAAAGGAAUUGACGG
This 610-nucleotide ribosomal RNA is filed under the name uncultured delta proteobacterium. RNAcentral describes it as "bacterial SSU rRNA". It matches the Rfam family "Bacterial small subunit ribosomal RNA", at positions 322 to 916 of the family's 1533-position model. The record is from RNAcentral. Lineage: Bacteria; Deltaproteobacteria.